UACAGAGGUCUCAAGCGUUGUUCGGAUUCAUUGGGCGUAAAGGGUGCGUAGGCGGCGGCGUAAGUCGAGUGUGAAAUCUCGGGGCUCAACCCCGAAAUUGCACUCGAUACUGCGUCGCUAGAGGACUGUAGAGGAGAUCGGAAUUCACGGUGUAGCAGUGAAAUGCGUAGAUAUCGUGAGGAAGACCAGUUGCGAAAGCGGAUCUCUGGGCAGUUCCUGACGCUGAGGCACGAAGGCUAGGGGAGCAAACGGG
RNAcentral lists this ribosomal RNA (253 nucleotides) under uncultured bacterium. RNAcentral's name for it is "partial 16S ribosomal RNA". It matches the Rfam family "Bacterial small subunit ribosomal RNA", at positions 524 to 776 of the family's 1533-position model. The record is from RNAcentral.